RNAcentral lists this ribosomal RNA (253 nucleotides) under uncultured bacterium. RNAcentral's name for it is "partial 16S ribosomal RNA". It matches the Rfam family "Bacterial small subunit ribosomal RNA", at positions 524 to 776 of the family's 1533-position model. The record is from RNAcentral.
UACAGAGGGUGCGAGCGUUGUCCGGAAUCACUGGGCGUAAAGGGCGCGUAGGCGGCCGGGUAAGUAGGGGGUGAAAUCCCACAGCUCAACUGUGGGGCUGCCUCCUAGACUGCUUGGCUUGAGCACGGUAGAGGCUGGUGGAAUUCCCGGUGUAGCGGUGGAAUGCGUAGAGAUCGGGAAGAACAUCGGUGGCGAAGGCGGCCAGCUGGGCCGUUGCUGACGCUGAGGCGCGAAAGCGUGGGGAGCAAACAGG